CGACGUGGGUAACCUGCCUCAUACAGGGGGAUAACAGUUGGAAACGACUGCUAAUACCGCAUAAGCGCACAGGAUCACAUGAUCUGGUGUGAAAAACUCCGGUGGUAUGAGAUGGACCCGCGUCUGAUUAGCCAGUUGGCAGGAUAACGGCCUACCAAAGCGACGAUCAGUAGCCGACCUGAGAGGGUGACCGGCCACAUUGGGACUGAGACACGGCCCAA
This 221-nucleotide ribosomal RNA is filed under the name uncultured bacterium. RNAcentral's name for it is "partial 16S ribosomal RNA". It matches the Rfam family "Bacterial small subunit ribosomal RNA", at positions 113 to 334 of the family's 1533-position model. The record is from RNAcentral.